Molecule: ribosomal RNA, 780 nt
Filed under: Microbacterium sp. BAB-4855
Lineage: Bacteria; Bacillati; Actinomycetota; Actinomycetes; Micrococcales; Microbacteriaceae
Description: bacterial SSU rRNA
Rfam family: Bacterial small subunit ribosomal RNA
Source: RNAcentral
AUCCUGGCUCAGGAUGAACGCUGGCGGCGUGCUUAACACAUGCAAGUCGAACGAUGAACCAGGUGCUUGCACUUGGGGAUUAGUGGCGAACGGGUGAGUAACACGUGAGCAACCUGCCCCUGACUCUGGGAUAAGCGCUGGAAACGGCGUCUAAUACUGGAUAUGUCCCGUCACCGCAUGGUGUGCGGGUGGAAAGAUUUUUCGGUUGGGGAUGGGCUCGCGGCCUAUCAGCUUGUUGGUGAGGUAAUGGCUCACCAAGGYGUCGACGGGUAGCCGGCCUGAGAGGGUGACCGGCCACACUGGGACUGAGACACGGCCCAGACUCCUACGGGAGGCAGCAGUGGGGAAUAUUGCACAAUGGGCGAAAGCCUGAUGCAGCAACGCCGCGUGAGGGAUGACGGCCUUCGGGUUGUAAACCUCUUUUAGCAGGGAAGAAGCGAGAGUGACGGUACCUGCAGAAAAAGCACCGGCUAACUACGUGCCAGCAGCCGCGGUAAUACGUAGGGUGCAAGCGUUAUCCGGAAUUAUUGGGCGUAAAGAGCUSGUAGGCGGUSUGUCGCGUCUGCUGUGAAAUCCCGAGGCUCAACCUCGGGCUUGCAGUGGGUACGGGCAGACUAGRGUGCGGUAGGGGAGAUUGGAAUUCCUGGUGUAGCGGUGGAAUGCGCAGAUAUCAGGAGGAACACCGAUGRCGAAGGCAGAUCUCUGGGCCGUAACUGACGCUGAGGAGCGAAAGGGUGGGGAGCAAACAGGCUUAGAUACCCUGGUAGUCCACCCCGUAAA